UUAUACCCUCCCCUUGUGCAGUGAUUGGGUGAGUCUGGAGGGUGUGGUUUAGAAAGGAUUCCUCUCUAAAACAGUCAACUCUCUCUUCACCAAUCUCCUGGAACUGGCCAAAACUCUCUGCACUAGCCCUGCUAACACACUCGCUUUCUACCAACUCGUAUUUCUCCUGACACUGGAAUUCUCUUAUCAAAGGCUCUCAGAUAUACUGGUCUUCCUACACCAGCUGCAAGAGCUUGCUGUGAAGGAGAAAGGUCUUGAGGCACAUCACAGAGUGGUGCUACAUGCUACAGUGGCAGGUGUGCUGUAUCUAGCGUCCAAGAUUAGUCGAAACGAGGUACUCAAGACGCACAUCGAUGGAGUGAUUGCUAAGAGGAAGGAGACAGCUCCGAAGGCUAUUGUGAGACAUUCUUCUAGAAGGAAGUGCAGUCAUCUAGACAUGGAGGAGAAGCUACUCAAGAGAUAUCAAAUCAUGGACCCGGGUGUCAUGGCUGAGCUGGAGUGAAAAUUGGACCUAUGCAGAUGUUGAGGAGAAGAGUGAGACCAUUCGAGGUCUAGAGGAUGACCUGCUGAGGGAGCUGGAGGAGAAGCUGCUCGAGAGGUCUCAAAUCAUGGACCCAGGUGUCAUGGCUGAGCUGGUGAGAGAAUUGGAACUGGCCAAC
Molecule: long non-coding RNA, 659 nt
Organism: Halichondria panicea
Lineage: Eukaryota; Metazoa; Porifera; Demospongiae; Suberitida; Halichondriidae
Exons: 3
Source: RefSeq, a predicted model, not a curated record